This 606-nucleotide ribosomal RNA is filed under the name uncultured eukaryote. RNAcentral's name for it is "SSU rRNA". It matches the Rfam family "Eukaryotic small subunit ribosomal RNA", at positions 613 to 1220 of the family's 1831-position model. The record is from RNAcentral.
UUGUGGUUAAAAAGCUCGUAGUUGGAUUUCGGCGGGCAUUGGUUGGUUUGAAUUGUUUCAACACUGACUAUUUUGCCCGUGUGUUUUGCCAGAAUUUAACGGGUGCUCUUCGCCGAGUGUCUGUUAGAGCUGGCAGGUUUACUUUGAAAAAAUUAGAGUGCUCAAAGCAAGCUUAAUCGCUUGAAUAUUCGUGCAUGGAAUAAUAGAAUAGGAAGUCGUUUCUAUUUUGUUGGUUUUCGGAAAUCGACUUAAUGAUUAAUAGGGACAGUCGGGGGCAUUUGUAUUCAAACGACAGAGGUGAAAUUCUUGGACCGUUUGAAGACAAGCUACUGCGAAAGCAUUUGCCAAGAAUGUUUUCAUUAAUCAAGAACGAAAGUUAGAGGUUCGAAGGCGAUCAGAUACCGCCCUAGUUCUAACCAUAAACGAUGCCAGCUAGCGAUCUGUCGGCGUUUUAUUUUGACUUGACAGGGAGCUUCCGGGAAACCAAAGCGUGUGGGUUCCAGGGGAAGUAUGGUUGCAAAGCUGAAACUUAAAGGAAUUGACGGAAGGGCACCACCAGGAGUGGAGCCUGUGGCUUAAUUUGACUCAACACGGGAAAUCUCACCA